Non-coding RNA from Pelobates cultripes (western spadefoot toad), 258 nucleotides. The record is from the annotation of a GenBank genome assembly. Lineage: Eukaryota; Metazoa; Chordata; Amphibia; Anura; Pelobatidae.
AAACACGAAAUCGGAAGAUCUACAACUAUAUAUUUGCUUUGUUUUUUGUCCAGGGGAGCCAUAAUUUUUCAUAGGAGGAUCGAAUUCCAGCAUCAGAGAUAAAGUUGUGUUCCAUUUUAUAUUCCAUUCCAUUUGUAUUUGAUAUUGUGAGCUCUAAGUGUAGAGGUCUGAGCCGCAAAGCUUUACCUUGCCUGUCGAGUCAUUAAAGAUAAAUCUGAGUAUAGCUUCAUAUCUUUGAAUUGUGAAUCUGGAGCUGGA